AGAGAUCUUAGUGUCUCACUGCACCUGACCUCUGUGGCGAGCUAGGAGUGUCUGAGCCCUCACCACGCCUUCCCCUGUGAGUACCGGACCCCUCUUCAGGAGUCAGGAAGCGGAUGCAGGGUGGUGCAGCCCCAGGACAUGGAGCCUGGGAACGCCAGGCCCACGGUCAGCCCUGCCAGGUGCCGUCGGACGCACCUCGAGGGUUUUCCACGCAUUGAAACAGGCAAGGUUAGCAUAGAUAAACUGGGCUGUUCUGCGUGAGGGGAAGUACAGGCUGUGAGAAACAAAAGUGCAUGAGCCAUCCGGCGUUCCCAGUGUCUGCCGCAGACCCAAAGUUAAGGUUUGCCUUUAAUUUUAUCAGUUCUCUUUACCCGCUAUUUUGUAGUAAAACUCAUUUUCUAUUUUCAUCAUAUGCUUCUCAGAUUCUCACUAGUUUGAUAGCACACGCAUAUACAUCUUUUACUGAAAUAAUACUUUCUAACGUAAUGAGCACUUACAUUAAUAGCCUAAGCACCACCCAACACACAUCCAUUCCUCUCAGAAGCUCCCCAGUCCCUGAGCCUAGAGGCUGGGCCUCCCUCAGCUCCAAGUAAUUCCUCCUCAAGGCACCAGUGUGGAGGGCAUCGCAGACGUUGUUCUUUCCACCGCAAUCAAACAUGAAAGAGCGUUUUUGCCUUCCUGUUCUUCUCUAGAAUUGUGUUUAUUUAAAGUCCUUAAGAGAACAUCAAGAAGUGAAAGAAUUACUAUUCUCAGUAGUACCACCAUUCUAAGCUUGCACAUAAACAUUGUCUCCUCCUGGGAGAAAUGCCUGGAUUUACCCUGAAAGAC
RNAcentral lists this long non-coding RNA (828 nucleotides) under Homo sapiens (human). Its description in RNAcentral is "HSALNT0025912". Lineage: Eukaryota; Metazoa; Chordata; Mammalia; Primates; Hominidae. The record is from RNAcentral.